Molecule: long non-coding RNA, 2783 nt
Organism: Orcinus orca (killer whale)
Lineage: Eukaryota; Metazoa; Chordata; Mammalia; Artiodactyla; Delphinidae
Exons: 2
Source: RefSeq, a predicted model, not a curated record
AGCCUUCUCCCCACUCCCAUGAGCUGGAAAAUGGGGGGCUUGUUUGGGAGAAAACUCUUCCAGAGACAGACUCUGUUUUGAGUUGCUAGGCUAUAUUAAGUUGGGACCAUACACACCAGAUUAAAGGAAGAGUGGGGAGCCAGAGCUGGCUGCUCAUAUAUACCCGUGAAUUUGCAAAGUGGUAUACAUCCAACAUCAUUCAUUACAGCUUCACCAUAGAUGGAAAUAUACCAGAAGUCCAUCCAUGAGGACUGUUAGUUAUGUGAUGAUACAACCAUAUAUGUAGACUAUUAUGCAGCAUGAAAGAAUGACAAUGAUCUCUAUGUACUGACAUGGAAAGAUCUCUACAAAAGAUUGUUUAGUGAAAAUGGGUGUCUAUUAUGCUACUUUUCCAGAGAAAAAUAAGAAUCCAUACUAUUUCCUUGUAUAUGCAUAAGGAAACUAUAGAAAAUAUAUCUACAAGAAAUUAAGCUGUCCUAUAAAGAAGACUUAUGUAAAAUAUAAAUAAAGAAAUAUAAAAAUUUUUAAAAGAAAACAUGUAAAAGACUUAUGUAAAGAAGACGUAUUCACAGGUCAGAACUUCACUAUAGUAGUGGUCAGUUCCUCUCGAUUAUCCUAUGGGUUCAAUUCAAUCUCAGUCUAAACCCCAGAAGGAUGGAUGGAGAGAUGGAUGAAUGGAUGGAUGGAUGGAUGGAUUUAUUUAUUUAUUAUUUAAAAUUUUAAAAUAGAGGUAAAUUCACAUAGCAUAAAAGUCACCAUUUUAAAUGACCAUCUUAGUGGCAUUCAGUACAUUCACAAUGUUGUGCAAUCUCUAUGUAUUUCCACAUAUUUUUAUUGGCAAUGAAAAUUUGGAAAAAUUUCCAAACAUUUUCAGCACCCGAAAAGGAAACCCUGUACCCAUCAACCAGUUGCUCCUAAUAUCCCCCUCCCCAUAAUGCUGGUAACCACCACUAUUAGUUUCCUAUGACUGCUAUAACAGAGUACCACAACCUGGUCAGUGUAUAAAAAAGAAGAGCAGAAAUGGAUCCUCUCAUGGUCCUGAAAGCCAAGGGUCUGAAUUCAGUGUGUUGGCAGGGCCAUGAUCCUUCCAAGGCUCUAGGGGAGACUUCUUUUGUUGACUGAAAAAAGAUGCUCAACCUAAAAAUUGACAGUUAUGUUUUACUCAGCAGACAAAACUGAGGACUUAAGCCUGGGACGCAGACUGUCAAAUAUCUCUAAGGGAACUCCUCUGAAGAAGGACACAUGGUUGGAUUAUAGCCUACCCAAAUUCAGUGCAUCUGCAAAGACCGUAUCUCCAAAUAAAGUCACAUUCAUGGCCACUGGAGGUUAGAACUUCAGCAUAUCUUUUGGGGGAUGUAAUUCAACCCAUAAUGCCACCAAUCGGCAUUCUGUCUCUAUGGAUUUACCUUUUCUGGAUAUGGGAUCUGGAUUUUUAUUGUAGAUUGUCAUGCUGAUUCUAAAAUUCACAUGGAUGAGCAAGGGACCCAGAAUAGAUGGGACAAUUCUUGGGUUCUCAAGCCUGGGUUCUCUGCCUUCCUCCUAGGAACCAAGAACCCACUCCCUUUUGCCAGCUCCAUGUGGGUGAGGAAGGGGACCUGGGAGAGAAGUACAAGGAAGUCAGAGGCUGGGGAACCUCUCCGAGGACCAGGGAGGGUGACACUGCCUGCCUUCUUGUGUAGGUAGGCUGCAGACCUGGAAGACAGCAUGAGAACUGAGAUUAUGGGAAGAGCUGCAGAGGUGUGGCUGGAAGCAGAUUCUAGGGCUAUGGAAUGGGGGGAGACACAGCCAGUUUUGUUGUUAUUCACUGUGCUGUUUGUCAUCCUGGGGUGCCUGUUUCCAGAGCUGGGAGGGAUUACAGGGCAUUGGAGGUCGGCGGGGGGAGGCCGGUACAGAGAGAUUUGGAGCGAUCACUUGUUGACUUCCUUACUGAACAAAUUCACAGUCGGGGUACCAGCACCCCACUCUGGAGGAGCCCAACUCUUGCUCCUCAUGAUGCAGUUUUCGGCAGAGCUGAGAGACUGUCCAAAGUCCUGUGAAUUGGCUACCUACAUCACAUCAGACCAAAUCGUUGGGCAGGCCUGUAGUAACCAUGCUUCCUUUUUAUUUUUCACAUACAUCUAAUCCAUGUUAUCUCAUGUUUUGCCUUAAAUAAGUUUUCAAACAAAGUAGAAGCGUAAAUAUAUGAUAAACACUAAGUGCUUUUAAAAAAUUCAGCUAUGUUUAUGGAAUUUCCUACCCUGAGGGUAGACAUGGGCAAACGCCUAUAAUAGACAGUUCCUUCACUUUCGCCUGGCAUCGGCAGGUUGGAAUUGUGUCUUAAUCCAGUUUCCAAAGAAAACAGAGCCUGAGGCAAACAUGUGCUGACACUUUAGCAUAUCCCUUCCCUGAGGGCUUCUACAUUUUUGUCUUCUAUCAACAGAGGAUUAGAAACUCCCUUCAAGUGUACCACCACUACAAGGGUGGUCUCAAACUUGGGCUUAUAUUCCACAGAGGAUGAGAGCUCCUAAACACUGGUUGCUGGGCCCAUCCCUGCAUCUCUGAUUCAGUGGGGCCUAGAAUUUGCAUUUCUAACACAUCCUCAGGGCAUGCUGAUACUGAAAGUAUGGGACCAUGCCCUGAGAACCACAAACCAUCCUCCUGCCAAUCCUAAAUUCGACCUCAGCAAGUGUCACCUCCUCUGCAAAGUUUCUGGGCCCUUCAGCUUCAAGGCCCUAGCACCCUAAAAGAGCCUUAUCUGUGGCUCCCUCCUUCCAGCAUUGUCGAUAAAUGCAGUGUUUCCUUUC